GUGGGGAAUCUUCCGCAAUGGACGAAAGUCUGACGGUGCAACGCCGCGUGAGUGAAGAAGGUUUUCGGAUCGUAAAGCUCUUUCGUUAGGGACGAACGUGCUCUUUGUGAAUAAUGAGGAGUAAUGACGGUACCUAAAUAAGAAGCCACGGCUAACUACGUGCCAGCAGCCGCGGUAAUACGUAGGUGGCAAGCGUUGUCCGGAAUUAUUGGGCGUAAAGCGCGCGCAGGCGGGAUAUCAAGUCUGUCUUAAAAGUGCGAGGCUCAACCUCGUGAGGGGACAGAAACUGGUAUUCUUGAGUGUCGGAGAGGAAAGUGGAAUUCCAAGUGUAGCGGUGAAAUGCGUAGAGAUUUGGAAGAACACCAGUGGCGAAGGCGACUUUCUGGACGAUGUCUGACGCUGAGGCGCGAAAGCUAGGGGAGCGAACGGGAUUAGAUACCCUGGUAGUCC
RNAcentral lists this ribosomal RNA (450 nucleotides) under uncultured bacterium. RNAcentral's name for it is "partial 16S ribosomal RNA". It matches the Rfam family "Bacterial small subunit ribosomal RNA", at positions 354 to 796 of the family's 1533-position model. The record is from RNAcentral.